RNAcentral lists this ribosomal RNA (465 nucleotides) under uncultured bacterium. RNAcentral describes it as "SSU rRNA". It matches the Rfam family "Bacterial small subunit ribosomal RNA", at positions 26 to 518 of the family's 1533-position model. The record is from RNAcentral.
AGGGCUAACGCUGGCGGCGUGCCUAACACAUGCAAGUCGAACGGGGUAGCAAUACCCAGUGGCAGACGGGUGAGUAACACGUGGUCAACCUACCUCUAUGUGGGGGAUAACUAGCCGAAAGGUUAGCUAAUACCGCAUACGAUCGCUUUGGGGCAUCCCUAGGCGAUGAAAGGAGCAAUCCGCAUAGAGAGGGGACUGCGUCCCAUUAGUUAGUUGGUGGGGUAACGGCCUACCAAGACUCCGAUGGGUAGCUGGCUUGAGAGAGCGACCAGCCACACUGGAACUGAGACACGGUCCAGACUCCUAUGGGAGGCAGCAGUGAGGAAUUUUCCGCAAUGGGCGAAAGCCUGACGGAGCGACGCCGCGUGUGGGAAGAAGGCCUUCGGGUCGUAAACCACUGUCGAAGGGGACGAUAAUGACGGUACCCUUGGAGGAAGCCCCGGCUAACUACGUGCCAGCAGCCGC